UGCUUUUCCGCCGGCGACCGGCGCACGGGUGCGGAACGCGUAUGGAACCUGCCCCUGUCAGGGGAAUAGCCCAGGGAAACUUGGAUUAAUGCCCCAUGGUACCGCGAUAUCGCAUGAUAUUGCGGUUAAAGAUUUAUCGGACAGGGAUGGCCAUGCGUACCAUUAGUUAGUUGGUGGGGUAACGGCCCACCAAGGCAGCGAUGGUUAGGGGCCCUGAGAGGGGGAUCCCCCACACUGGUACUGAGACACGGACCAGACUCCUACGGGAGGCAGCAGUGAGGAAUAUUGGACAAUGGGCGGGAGCCUGAUCCAGCCAUGCCGCGUGCAGGAUGACGGCCCUAUGGGUUGUAAACUGCUUUUAUACGGGAAGAAAUGCGCCCACGUGUGGGCGUCUGACGGUACCGUAAGAAUAAGGACCGGCUAACUCCGUGCCAGCAGCCGCGGUAAUACGGAGGGUCCGAGCGUUAUCCGGAAUCAUUGGGUUUAAAGGGUCCGUAGGCGGGCCUGUAAGUCAGGGGUGAAAGUUUGUGGCUCAACCAUAAAAUUGCCUUUGAUACUGCAGGUCUUGAGUCAUGGUGGGGUCGCCGGAACAUGUGGUGU
This 600-nucleotide ribosomal RNA is filed under the name Flagellimonas ruestringensis. RNAcentral's name for it is "bacterial SSU rRNA". It matches the Rfam family "Bacterial small subunit ribosomal RNA", at positions 78 to 676 of the family's 1533-position model. Lineage: Bacteria; Pseudomonadati; Bacteroidota; Flavobacteriia; Flavobacteriales; Flavobacteriaceae. The record is from RNAcentral.